UCAGUAACACGUGGCCAAACUACCCUGUGGAUGGGAACAAUCUCGGGAAACUGAGGCUAAUUCCCAAUAACGCUCCGCCCCUGGAACGGGCGGAGCUGGAAACGCUACGGCGCCACAGGAUGUGGCUGCGGUCGAUUAGGUAGACGGUGGGGUAACGGCCCACCGUGCCAAUAAUCGGUACGGGUUGUGAGAGCAAGAGCCCGGAGACGGAAUCUGAGACAAGAUUCCGGGCCCUACGGGGCGCAGCAGGCGCGAAACCUUUACACUGUACGCAAGUGCGAUAAGGGGACUCCGAGUGUGAAGGCAUAGAGCCUUCACUUUUGUACACCGUAAGGUGGUGUACGAAUAAGGGCUGGGCAAGACCGGUGCCAGCCGCCGCGGUAAUACCGGCAGCCCGAGUGAUGGCCGAUAUUAUUGGGCCUAAAGCGUCCGUAGCUGGCCGGACAAGUCCGUUGGGAAAUCUGUUCGCUUAACGAGCAGGCGUCCAGCGGAAACUGUUCGGCUUGGGACCGGAAGACCUGAGGGGUACGUCCGGGGU
This 538-nucleotide ribosomal RNA is filed under the name Halobacterium noricense. RNAcentral describes it as "bacterial SSU rRNA". It matches the Rfam family "Archaeal small subunit ribosomal RNA", at positions 90 to 627 of the family's 1478-position model. Lineage: Archaea; Methanobacteriati; Methanobacteriota; Halobacteria; Halobacteriales; Halobacteriaceae. The record is from RNAcentral.